This is a long non-coding RNA of Lolium rigidum, 472 nucleotides long. RefSeq lists it as uncharacterized. The transcript is spliced from 3 exons. NCBI's taxonomy places the organism in Eukaryota, Viridiplantae, Streptophyta, Magnoliopsida, Poales, Poaceae. The record is from RefSeq and is a predicted model, not a curated record.
CCUCCAACCCGUACACAACCAACGAAACGCAACCCUAGCCCCUCUCUGUCCCGCUCCUCUCCUCUCCUCCCCACUCCACUACACACGCGGCGGCGGCGCCCAAAGCAACCAAACCACGGCGAGAUCCGGCGGCCUGGCCAUCCCGGAGCACGACGACCUCGAGCACGCCCUCCAUCCACGCCAAAGCAUCCGAGUCCCGGCCGCCUACAGCUGCUCCCACCUGUCGGUCAUUCGCUCUGGUGUGACCAGGUCAUUCUUGCCCUGCAAAUGCACAGAGACCGAAGCAACAUUGGUGGCGUGACGCACAAACACCCUACCCUCUCCGGCCGAUAUCUGACACCAAGACUGUGACUAGUCUUGUGAGUGACAGCCAGAUGUAGUUGCAUCCAUGCGCGCCGCCCCGUCGAGCUUGCCCGCCCGCGUCGCAUCAAGCAAGCGCGUCGAUGCCACCGCAAGGAGAAGAUGCCUCCGG